AAUCAACGCUGGCGGCGUGCCUAACACAUGCAAGUCGAACGCGAAAGCCCGCAAGGGUAAGUAGAGUGGCGCACGGGUGAGUAACACGUGGACAACCUGCCUUCGAGUGGGGAAUAACCUUCCGAAAGGAGGGCUAAUACCGCAUAACACCUCGGGACACAAGUUCUGGGGUUGAAAAGAGCAAUUUGCUCGAAGAGGGGUCCGCGCCUGAUUAGCUAGUUGGUGAGGUAACGGCUCACCAAGGCUUCGAUCAGUAGCCGUCCUGAGAGGGAGCACGGCCACACUGGAACUGAGACACGGUCCAGACUCCUACGGGAGGCAGCAGUGGGGAAUUUUUGGCAAUGGGCGAAAGCCUGACCAAGCAACGCCGCGUGGGUGAUGAAGUAUCUUGGUACGUAAAACCCUUUCGGCAGGGACGAACCUAAUGACGGUACCUGCGGAAGAAGCCCCGGCUAACUCCGUGCCAGCAGCCGCGGUAAUACGGGGGGGGCAAGCGUUGUUCGGAAUUACUGGGCGUAAAGGGCGCGUAGGCGGUUGGAUAAGUCAGCUGUGAAAACCACGGGCUUAACUCGUGGCCUGCAGUUGAAACUGUCUGGCUUGAGUGUGGGAGAGGAGAGUGGAAUUCCUGGUGUAGCGGUGAAAUGCGU
Molecule: ribosomal RNA, 647 nt
Filed under: uncultured soil bacterium
Lineage: Bacteria
Description: bacterial SSU rRNA
Rfam family: Bacterial small subunit ribosomal RNA
Source: RNAcentral